UACGAAGGGGGCUAGCGUUGUUCGGAUUUACUGGGCGUAAAGCGCACGUAGGCGGAUCGUUAAGUCGGGGGUGAAAUCCUGGAGCUCAACUCCAGAACUGCCAUCGAUACUGGCGAUCUUGAGUCCGGAAGAGGUGAGUGGAAUUCCUAGUGUAGAGGUGGAAUUCGUAGAUAUUAGGAAGAACACCAGUGGCGAAGGCGGCUCACUGGUCCGGUACUGACGCUGAGGUGCGAAAGCGUGGGGAGCAAACAGG
This 253-nucleotide ribosomal RNA is filed under the name uncultured bacterium. RNAcentral's name for it is "partial 16S ribosomal RNA". It matches the Rfam family "Bacterial small subunit ribosomal RNA", at positions 524 to 776 of the family's 1533-position model. The record is from RNAcentral.